UUUGUUUUUUGGUUUUU
RNAcentral lists this small RNA (17 nucleotides) under Arabidopsis thaliana (thale cress). RNAcentral describes it as "ATSL240500". Lineage: Eukaryota; Viridiplantae; Streptophyta; Magnoliopsida; Brassicales; Brassicaceae. The record is from RNAcentral.